AUGGGACAAAACAGACAGGAUAGCCUCUUCAGGUGGCUGACAACUAGUAGGAACACCCUCUUUGGCCAUGACCCAACUGGCAGGAACAUCCUCUGUAGGCCUAACAGGACAGGCAGGAACACUUUGUAUGGCCCAGAUGUGACAGUAGGAACAAUACUUAAGGACUUGACAAGACAGGAACAAUCUCUAUGGCCAUGACCCAACUGGCAAGGACAACCUUCGAGGACAUAACAGGACAGACAGGAACAUUUUAUAUGGCCAUAACUUGACGGUAGGAACAACUAUGGCCAUGACCCAACUGGCAGGAACGACCUCUAUAGGAGUGACAGGACAAGCAGGAACACUUUGUAUGGCCCAGACAUGAUGGGUAGGGACAACCUCUGAAGGCAUGACUUGACAACAUCUUCCGUGGACAUGACAGGAGUGAACUCUGGAUGCUUGACAACAUCUUCCGUGGACAUGACAGGAGUGAACUCUGGGGACUAGACAGCAUCUGUGGACAUGACAGGAGUGAUCUCUGGACACUUGACAAAUGACAGGAGAAACUUCAGUGGGCAUGGUGACAAGAUUGACUUCUGAUGACAGGAUGUGAGAGGCUAGAACAGUCUCCGGUACAACUUCUGUAACAGUCAAAUAGGCUGGGAGGUUUGGUAGAAUACCCUUGUAACUAUGACUUGAGGUUCUGACAACAAGACCACCGAACUAAACACCUCUGGACUAGGUUCCAAUAUUGACUGGGGAAGGACUGUGGGGGCUAUUGGAAGAGACUCGGGGGCUGCAGGAACUGAUUCUUGAUGCCCUCCGGGGCUGGAGCCGACACUGGAGCGAGCUCUGGGGCUGGAGCCGACACUGGAGCGGCUUGGAUAACUUUAAUUCUGACUGGAAUGAUUUGAAGCAAAGAUGACUACAGCAAUCCCAGCAGAGUUUGAAACUGUCUUGACGGAUUCAGAAAUUGAACUUGACUAGAUCAGGGAUAGCUGCAGCAAUCAGCCAACUCAGGGGUAUCUGAAACUAACAAGACAUGAUUAACAUUCAGGGCAAAAAAAAUUCACUAGAUAAAAUGAAAAAAAAAAAACCCGGAGUAGUGAUGCUCAUCUGCUGGGUCCUGACUUGGGCUGGUUCGUAAUGUCAGGGAUCUGAGAAGGAGGACCCAGUUAGAGAGUGAGUGAACAAUGGUUUAUUGACAAAACAGACUGAUACAAGAGGGUAGUGAAGUGCACAAAUACCACAACAGGAACACAAUAAACAGGAACAGCUAGGGAAGGCCA
Cyprinus carpio (common carp) is the source of this 1268-nucleotide long non-coding RNA. The record is from Ensembl. NCBI's taxonomy places the organism in Eukaryota, Metazoa, Chordata, Actinopteri, Cypriniformes, Cyprinidae.